AUUGAACGCUGGCGGCAUGCCUUACACAUGCAAGUCGAACGGCAGCACGGGAGCAAUCCUGGUGGCGAGUGGCGAACGGGUGCGUAAUAUAUCGGAACGUGCCCAGUCGUGGGGGAUCACGCAGCGAAAGCUGUGCUAAUACCGUAUCAGAACUACGGAUGAAAGCGGGGGAUCGCCAGACCUCGCGCGAGUGGAGCGGCCGUGAUCAGAUUAGCCAGUUGGUGGGGUAAAGGCCCACCAAGGCGACGAGCUGUAGCUGGACUGAGAGGACGACCAGCCACACUGGAACGGAGACACGGUCCAGACUCCUACGGGAGGCAGCAGUGGGGAGUUUUGGACAAUGGGCGCAAGCCUGAUCCAGCAAUGCCGCGUGCAGGAUGAAGGCCUUCGGGUUGUAAACUGCUUUUGUACGGAACGAAACGGUCCUUUCUAAUACAAGGGGCUAAUGACGGUACCGUAAGAAUAAGCACCGGCUAACUACGUGCCAGCCGCCGCAGUAA
RNAcentral lists this ribosomal RNA (500 nucleotides) under uncultured bacterium. RNAcentral describes it as "partial 16S ribosomal RNA". It matches the Rfam family "Bacterial small subunit ribosomal RNA", at positions 29 to 523 of the family's 1533-position model. The record is from RNAcentral.